GAAGGUAUAGCUCAGGUGGUAGAGCACAUGCUUAGCAAGCAGGUGGUCCUGGGGUUCAAUCCCUAGUACCUCCU
This 74-nucleotide transfer RNA is filed under the name Camelus bactrianus (Bactrian camel). It matches the Rfam family "tRNA". From Rfam's summary of the family: Transfer RNA (tRNA) molecules are approximately 80 nucleotides in length. Their secondary structure includes four short double-helical elements and three loops (D, anti-codon, and T loops). Further hydrogen bonds mediate the characteristic L-shaped molecular structure. tRNAs have two regions of fundamental functional importance: the anti-codon, which is responsible for specific mRNA codon recognition, and the 3' end, to which the tRNAs corresponding amino acid is attached (by aminoacyl-tRNA synthetases). tRNAs cope with the degeneracy of the genetic code in two manners: having more than one tRNA (with a specific anti-codon) for a particular amino acid; and 'wobble' base-pairing, i.e. permitting non-standard base-pairing at the 3rd anti-codon position. RNAcentral also lists the same sequence under 2 other names. The record is from Rfam by way of RNAcentral. Lineage: Eukaryota; Metazoa; Chordata; Mammalia; Artiodactyla; Camelidae.